Molecule: long non-coding RNA, 1581 nt
Filed under: Anas platyrhynchos platyrhynchos (common mallard)
Lineage: Eukaryota; Metazoa; Chordata; Aves; Anseriformes; Anatidae
Description: lncRNA (ENSAPLG00000027347.1)
Source: RNAcentral
CUGAAAUCAUCCAUCCCACUAAGGGCUGCAAUUCAGCUUAUGAGCUGUAAUCACAUCAAUUAACCUUUGUUCCAUUUAACAUUAGGAGGGCCACAGAAUUACAGUGUUCGUAAUUAACCUCCUGGAUACAGAUGCAUCCAAAAACAAAGAGGCAUCCCUGUGUCUCCCAGGCCUGUGCAAAGGCAGGGCCAGAGUGCUGGGGGCAGAGAGGGACGAAGCAUCCAAUUUCUCCAGCAGCGUGCCAGAGGGACGGUGGUACCUCUGCUGGAGGUGGUGGCUGGGAGACCCCGAAGGCUUGCUGUGCAGUAGCCAAGAGCAUUUUCUGUCCAUCCCUUCUCCGUGCUGUUCUGCUCCAAAGCUGCUUAUGCAAAGCGUUCAAUAAAUACCCCCUGAAACGUGGAGGAGAUGAACAAGGUAAUGUGAAGAAUAAUGAAAUGUCCCUCAGCCUCCGGGGAAGCAGUAUUGACCAGCCAUGGAGAGAGCUUGUAAUGAGGCCCACUUUACCCAGAGAGAACAGUAAUAGCCUUCCCUUCCGCAGCCCCCCUCGCCCCCCCGUAAAUUGUGUUUGCUCAAGAAAAUGAUUUGUUCAGGAAAGGAGCCAGGCAGCGGGUGCUGGCUGGAGGAGCCAGCGAGGAGGCAAGGAGAAGGGCUGGGGGGAGAGUCAUGGGCCAUGUGUGGCUUCCCAAAGGUCGGUAGCUGUUGCAAAUGAGAUGUGCUGUGUCAAAAUGCCCCUCUGCAUCCCUCUGGCCCAGGAGGAUGGGGGAAGGAGAAUUUAGGGACAUGGGAGCUAGAUGUGGCAGCAGGGGUGGAUCCUGUGUCCCGUGAAAGCCACCCUCAUCCCAAAAGCUUCCCUUUGCCUCACCCAAACCUCUCCGUUCAGUCCUCUGUUCUUUGCACCGAUGGUGAGAUCUCUCUCUGCUGGUCACCCUUGCUCUGCUGGAGCAGGCUCUCAUGACGUGUCUGGAUUCAGUGCACUUGCACAGUGGGUUUACUGCUCACUCUUUGGCCCAUUUAUUGAGCACCGUCUGCCAUAGAGACCCCCAAAGCUGUGGCUGUGGACCCAUUCCUGCAUCUGCAGAGCAUCCGGCAGAGAUUAUACCCUUGCACAAAUAGAGAUGCAACCCAGAAAACUGCCUGCUCAGCAGCAGGCUGCUCAGCCCACCAGGGCUGCAGCUUCCCACCCACAGCUGCUCUUGUUUUCUAGCCCGUGACCAGCAGCCUCUUCAGAGUGCCCCUUUUUUCAACAUCAUGGGGGUUUUCUAAGGCUGCUCAUUUGGUUUUAACCAUGCUAUCUGUUCAAGGCACCACCCUGUCUACACUAACCUUUAUUGCAUUAUUCCCAUGUCUUCCAGUCCUCAUUUCCAUUCCUUGCCCCCUUGGUAUCUGGGGACAUAACAGGUCACUUUGCUUUGCUGUUCUUCCUAUUUGCAUCUCUGCCUUCUGCUGUCAGAGCUUCCUUUGCCUGCUCCCUCCCUGAGCAGCACUCCAUUUGGGAUCAGCAUCUCAUCAGACAGUAAUUCCCUUUGCUUUGGUCCAGUGUACAAAGUGACAGACCCUCUCAAAUUGAGCUGGGACUUUUGU